This is a long non-coding RNA of Orcinus orca (killer whale), 458 nucleotides long. RefSeq lists it as uncharacterized. The record is from RefSeq and is a predicted model, not a curated record. Lineage: Eukaryota; Metazoa; Chordata; Mammalia; Artiodactyla; Delphinidae. The transcript is spliced from 3 exons.
CGGGAGUGGUCAGUGCAGCUGUGGAUGGCUCAGAAGUCCUGCUGCUGAAGUCCCUGCAGGCACAGAGGCUGCCUGUCCCAGCCAGGGAGGCCAGGCACGCGGAACCGCCUUGCCAAGCCUUGACCCGCUACUAGCUGGCUACUGUGUUUAUUUCAGGGUAAAGAUGCCCCAGGACUUCAGCUGAAUGACUCCAGUGUUGGUGCACCAGCUGCUGGAAUAAGCAUGGAGCACAGCUGGGAAAGGAAGAGAGAACCGGGUGGUGGGGAGAAGACAGAAGAGGAGAGGGUAAUUUAAUAGUGGGAAGGUAAUUACAAGAUAUUGAAUGUAGUUCCCUGUGCUAUUCAGUGGGUCCUUGUUGAUUAUCUAUUUUAUGUAUAGUAGUGUGUAUCUGUUAAUCCCAAACUCCUAAUUUAUCCCUCCCCCCUUUCCCUUUGGUAACCAUAAAUUUGUUUUCUGUG